RNAcentral lists this transfer RNA (73 nucleotides) under Lachnospiraceae bacterium. RNAcentral describes it as "tRNA-Val". It matches the Rfam family "tRNA". From Rfam's summary of the family: Transfer RNA (tRNA) molecules are approximately 80 nucleotides in length. Their secondary structure includes four short double-helical elements and three loops (D, anti-codon, and T loops). Further hydrogen bonds mediate the characteristic L-shaped molecular structure. tRNAs have two regions of fundamental functional importance: the anti-codon, which is responsible for specific mRNA codon recognition, and the 3' end, to which the tRNAs corresponding amino acid is attached (by aminoacyl-tRNA synthetases). tRNAs cope with the degeneracy of the genetic code in two manners: having more than one tRNA (with a specific anti-codon) for a particular amino acid; and 'wobble' base-pairing, i.e. permitting non-standard base-pairing at the 3rd anti-codon position. The record is from RNAcentral. Lineage: Bacteria; Bacillati; Bacillota; Clostridia; Lachnospirales; Lachnospiraceae. RNAcentral also lists the same sequence under 1 other name.
GGAACGGUAGCUCAGCUGGGAGAGCACCAGGGUCACAACCUGGUUGUCAUGGGUUCGAGCCCCAUCCGUUCCA